This 764-nucleotide long non-coding RNA is filed under the name Gallus gallus (chicken). RNAcentral's name for it is "lncRNA (ENSGALG00010000337.1)". Lineage: Eukaryota; Metazoa; Chordata; Aves; Galliformes; Phasianidae. The record is from RNAcentral.
UCCGCCCGUGGAGCCGGCAGCGGAGGACGAGCGGCGGCACGACGAGGACCGGCACGACGACGACGACGACGACGACGACGACGAGGACGAGCGGAGCCUGCGGACGGCCCUCAAGAAGCUGCGGCUGGACGCGGCGCGGCGGCACGAGGACGAGGAGGAGCAGCAGCAGCAGCAGCAGGACGACGACGAGGACGAGGACGAGGACGACGAGGAGGAGCGCAGCCUGCGGACGGCCCUCCAGGAGCUGCGGGUGGACGCGGCGCGGUGUGAGAGGACUGCAGGAGGACCGGCCGGUCUCUCACGGCACGGACGUUCCAGGUCUCCUGUCCUAUCCAUCUGUGAAACAGCCCUGUGCAGCCCUCCCGCAUCCCGUUCUGUGGAGGCUCACGCUUAUGUCAGUGACGUGACUGUGGAAGACCUGGCAGGGUACCUGGAACACCAUCUGCAUAUACCAAAGAAAAUGUCUGCCAUGGCAGAAAUGAUGUAUUCAUAACCAAACAGCAAAAACAGUCACAGUACUAAGCGCUAUCAGAAAUUUAAAUGGCUCGUUUGUGCCAUAUUUGUAAUGUUCUGUUUCAUCAAAUGUCUUAUUACACGGUACAGUUUAGUUUUGUAAUUAAGAGAAAAACUGUACAUAGUUGCAUAGACUCCUGUGGCUGAAAUGAUGUAUACUUAACUGAAAGCCAUACUCAGUCACAUAGUAAUACAGUUUAUUUUUGUAACUCGAAUAAAAACUGUAUAUAGUCUCAUAGACUGACAGAAUG